GAUGGAGAAAUAAUGCUGCAUAUCGAUUAGAUCGUGAGGGAGUCUAUGUUACUCCAUCAUCAAGAGCUUUCCGCGAUGAAGAAGGCAAGAGCUUUUGGGUUGAAAUAGAAAUUUUUGAUAGAUACAGAUACCCAUCUGGGUCUCAAGCUCCAUAUAAUGUCACGGUGAGUUUGUUAGUACCCGGCAAUUACCAAGGUGAUAGAACUAUUAAGCAAAAUAAGAUAUUUAAUCAACCUGGAAAACAUCGGCUUAUGCUGCCAACUGUUUCUGUGAGGACUGCUGGUACAGUGUUGGUGGAGAUGGUUGACAAAAAUGGGCUAUAUUUCUCUGAUGAUUUCUCCUUGACAUUCCAUUUUCAUUAUUAUAAGCUGUUAAAAUGGCUUCUCGUUCUUCCUAUGCUGGGGAUGCUUGGUGUGCUUGUCAUUCUUCGUCCGCAAGAGGCCAUGCCAUUACCAUCAUUUACGCGAAACACCAACCUCUGAUGUUGCUUUCACAAAAAAUAUAACACAUCUCCUUUGGGUUAUAGAAAUGAGGCAUCUUCUCUAGCUGGAACUUUGAGCUGACAACGGCCUUUGUGAGUAGAUGUACGUUUAACUGUAUAGGGACAAGGGAUAAUUGCUUUUGAUCCUACCUGAAUCUGAAUUGUGAGCAUACAAGUUGGUUUGUGCCAUUAUUGUACCCUUCCCCAGGUGUAACAUACUUAUAAUUGCUAG
This 713-nucleotide unclassified non-coding RNA is filed under the name Hevea brasiliensis (rubber tree). Lineage: Eukaryota; Viridiplantae; Streptophyta; Magnoliopsida; Malpighiales; Euphorbiaceae. The record is from RNAcentral.